RNAcentral lists this ribosomal RNA (886 nucleotides) under Mucoromycotina sp. MIB 8771. RNAcentral's name for it is "SSU rRNA". It matches the Rfam family "Eukaryotic small subunit ribosomal RNA", at positions 630 to 1541 of the family's 1831-position model. Lineage: Eukaryota; Fungi; Mucoromycota; Endogonomycetes; Endogonales; Densosporaceae. The record is from RNAcentral.
GUAGUUGAAUUUUAGCCCUGGCUGGGCGGUCCACCUUUGGAUGGUACUGCUCUGGCUGGGGUUUACCUUUCUGGUGAGCCGUCAUGCCCUUUACUGGGUGUGGCGGGGAACCAGGACUUUUACCUUGAAAAAAUUAGAGUGUUUAAAGCAGGCCAAUUGCUUGAAUACAUUAGCAUGGAAUAAUGGAAUAGGACCUCGGUUCUAUUUUGUUGGUUUCUAGGACCGACGUAAUGAUUAAUAGGAAUAGUUGGGGGCAUUAGUAUUUAGUAGCUAGAGGUGAAAUUCUUGGAUUUACGAAAGACUAACUUCUGCGAAAGCAUUUGUCAAGGAUGUUUUCAUUAAUCAAGAACGAAAGUUAGGGGAUCGAAGACGAUCAGAUACCGUCGUAGUCUUAACCAUAAACUAUGCCGACUAGGGAUCAGACUGUCGUUAAUUUACUGACGCGUUUGGCACCUUAUGAGAAAUCAAAGUUUUUGGGUUCCGGGGGGAGUAUGGUCGCAAGGCUGAAACUUAAAGGAAUUGACGGAAGGGCACCACCAGGAGUGGAGCCUGCGGCUUAAUUUGACUCAACACGGGGAAACUCACCAGGUCCAGACAUAGUAAGGAUUGACAGAUUGAGAGCUCUUUCUUGAUUCUAUGGGUGGUGGUGCAUGGCCGUUCUUAGUUGGUGGAGUGAUUUGUCUGCUUAAUUGCGUUAACGAACGAGACCUUAACCUGCUAAAUAGUUAUGCCAACUUUGGUUGGUAGCCAACUUCUUAGAGGGACUGUCGGCAUCAAGCCGACGGAAGUUUGAGGCAAUAACAGGUCUGUUAUGCCCUUAGAUGUCCUGGGCCGCACGCGCGCUACACUGAUGAAGUCAACGAGUUUAUAACCUUGGCCGGAAGGU